GGAUUAACGCUGGCGGUGUGCCUAAUACAUGCAAGUCGAGCGAUCUAAAUUAAUACUUUGGAGAGCGGCGAACGGGUGAGUAACACGUUGGUAACUCGCCUCGAAGUGGGGAAUACCUCCGCGAAAGCGGAGUUAAUACCGCAUAAUAAUGGGGGGUCGAAAGACAUUCCCAUUUAAAGUCGCAAGACGCUUCGAGAGAGGCCUGCGGCCCAUCAGCUUGUUGGUGAGGUAAUAGCUUACCAAGGCUACGACGGGUAGAUGGUGUGAGAGCACGACCAUCCACAGUGGGACUGAGACACGGCCCACACUCCUACGGGAGGCAGCAGUAGGGAAUUUUCCGCAAUGGGCGAAAGCCUGACGGAGCAACACCGCGUGAGGGAUGACGGUUCUCGGAUCGUAAACCUCUUUUCUGAGAGAACAAUAUGAGUGUAUCUCAGGAAUCAGCCCCGGCUAACUACGUGCCAGCAGCCGCGGUAAUACGUAGGGGGCAAGCGUUAUCCGGAAUCACUGGGCGUAAAGUGUCCGCAGGUGGGAAAAUAAGUCAAAUAUUAAAUUUUGGUGCUUAACAUCAGAGCUGUAUUUGAAACUAUUUUUCUAGAGGGUGGGAAAGGCAAGUAGAAUUCCCGGUGUAGGGGUAAAAUCCGUAGAUAUCGGGAGGAAUACCAAAAGCGAAGGCAGCUUGCUAGAACAUUUCUGACACUCAUGGACGAAAGCGUGGGGAGCGAAAAGGAUUAGAUACCCUUGUAGUCCACGCCCUAAACGAUGAGAACUCGGUGUAGGAGGAGUCGAUCCUUCCUGUGCCUUAGCUAACGCGUUAAGUUCUCCGCCUGAGUAGUACGGUCGCAAGACUAAAACUCAAAGGAAUAGACGGGGACCCACACAAGCGGUGGAGCAUGUGGUUUAAUUCGACAGUAAACGAAAAACCUUACCAGGUCUUGACAUCUCGAGAAUCCCUUAGAAAUAAGGGAGUGCCGCAAGGAGCUCGAAGACAGGUGCUGCAUGGUUGUCGUCAGCUCGAGCCGUGAGGUGUACGGUUAAGUCCGCGAUCGAGCGCAACCCUCGCUCUUAGUUAUAUAUUUCUAAGAGGACUGCCUUGCCAUAAGCAGGAGGAAGGUGGGGAUGACGUCAAAUCAGCAUGGCCCUUAUGGUCUGGGCUACACACAUGCUACAAUGGCCAGUACAAAGAGAAGCAAAGGAGCAAUCUGGAGCGAAUCUCUAAAACUGGUCUCAGUUCGGAUUGAAGGCUGCAACUCGCCUUCACGAAGUUGGAAUCGCUAGUAACCGUGAAUCAGCUAUGUCACGGUGAAUAUGUUCCUGGGUC
Molecule: ribosomal RNA, 1321 nt
Filed under: uncultured soil bacterium
Lineage: Bacteria
Description: bacterial SSU rRNA
Rfam family: Bacterial small subunit ribosomal RNA
Source: RNAcentral